GUGGGGAAUAUUGGACAAUGGGCGCAAGUCUGAUCCAGCCAUGCCGCGUGAGUGAUGAAGGCCUUAGGGUUGUAAAGCUCUUUCAGUAGGGAAGAUAAUGACGGUACCUACAGAAGAAGCCCCGGCUAACUUCGUGCCAGCAGCCGCGGUAAUACGAAGGGGGCUAGCGUUGUUCGGAUUUACUGGGCGUAAAGCGCACGUAGGCGGAUUGGUCAGGUAGAGGUGAAAUCCCGAAGCUCAACUUCGGAACUGCCUUUAAUACUGCCAGUCUCGAGUCCGGAAGAGGUGAGUGGAACUCCUAGUGUAGAGGUGGAAUUCGUAGAUAUUAGGAAGAACACCAGUGGCGAAGGCGGCUCACUGGUCCGGUACUGACGCUGAGGUGCGAAAGCGUGGGGAGCAAACAGGAUUAGAAACCCUAGUAGUCC
Molecule: ribosomal RNA, 425 nt
Filed under: uncultured bacterium
Lineage: Bacteria
Description: partial 16S ribosomal RNA
Rfam family: Bacterial small subunit ribosomal RNA
Source: RNAcentral